GGUUAGAGAAAAGAAGAAGGUGCAAGUUAAUAAGGUGUUCAGUGAGGGACGAAGAUGAUGAAACAGUCGCUAAACUUUUAUUCUUGCAUUCAUGUUACAAAGAAUAUUUUCGCAAAUAACAUUUCAUAUCUGUUCAGGGAAGGUUCUACGUCAACAAAUCUCUGCGAUGAAAACAAGCAUUAUGAUAUUGUCGUUGCUGGCGGAGGGAUGGUUGGAACGACGUUGGCAUGUACUUUAGCUCAAGCACCAAGAUUAUCAGGCAAGAAGAUUCUGCUUUUGGAAGGAAGCCCACAGCAAGCCAAGGACCUAAAGCCUCAGUACAGUAAUCGUGUUUCUUCUCUGAACAGUGGUACAAAGUCACUAUUGGAGUUGAUUGGAGCAUGGAAACAUAUUGCAAGUGCAAGAUAUAAAACUGUAAAGAAGAUGCAGGUGUGGGAAGCAUGUUCAGAUGCAAUGAUAACAUUCAGUCAUGAUGACAUGGCUGAGGACAUUGCUUAUAUUGUGGAAAAUGAUGUGUUGUUAGCUGCCGUCAACAAAGAGGUUAAAGAACUGACUGAGAACCUUACAGUUAUGCAUGAAUCUAAAAUAAAGGGAUAUGAGCUUCCACAAUGCUAUGGAACAACUUGUGAUGUUCGAGUUCACCUAGAGAAUGGUCCAUCUUAUGUCUGCAGCUUAUUGAUUGGAGCUGAUGGGGCCAAUUCCCAGGUUCGUAAGGCAAUGGGAAUUAAAUAUUUAUCAUGGAAUUAUAACCAGAUGGGAGUAGUAGCUACACUGAAAUUAUCUGAGCCAACUGAGAAUGUGGUAGCUUGGCAACGAUUCCUACCUACUGGGCCAGUUGCCCUUUUACCGCUUACAGAUGAAUUGAGUUCAUUGGUCUGGUCAACAUCCAUUGAGCAUGCGAAGGAGCUCCUAAGUUUCUCAAAUGAAAGAUUUGUGGAUUCCCUCAAUGAUGCGUUAUGGAAGAAACUUCCUCGAGAUAAGAUCGUUGAUGUAGCAACGCAGAGAUUCAAUGGAUUACUUGAAUCACUGUUUGAGAGGUCCAGUACUGUGCAACAGCUGCACCCAAGUGUAUCCAGUGUCGUAGAGGGCAGUAGAGCUGCUUUCCCUCUUGGGUUUGGUCAUGCUACACGCUAUGUCGGUAAAGGAGUUGCAUUGGUUGGAGAUGCAGCCCACAGGGUUCACCCAUUGGCUGGUCAAGGAGUUAACUUGGGGUUUGGAGAUGUCCGUUGCCUUUCCGAGUUGCUCUCUGAAGCAGUAUUCAAUGGCAGUUUACUUGGGAGUCUGCCUCAUCUUUUGAAGUAUGAGACUUUGAGACAAAGACAUAAUUUGCCAAUGAUGUUGACAAUUGAUGGCUUACAGAAAUUAUAUGGAACGACACUCACUCCGCUUGUGGUUCUACGUAGUUUCGGACUUCAACUUACGCAUAUACUUAAUCCUGUUAAGAAAAUGAUAAUGAACCAUGCUGCAUGUUGAAGGCAAUGAGUCAUGAAGAAAGCCAUUUGUUAGGUUAUGUUGUGCAAGCUGUCUGCUACAGUAGGAUGGGAAUCAUACAUUUUUGAACCAAAAAUCAAGUAUGUGCCACAAGGAACAAGAGGAUUCCUAUAUGAAUGUGUUAACCCACCCCCAAGGAUGAGACCUGUAAGGGAAGAGGAGGUACAUGUAGAUGCAGUCAGAACUUGCUUAGGAUGCAACAAUGAAAGGGAAUUAUAAUUUAUACUUGGUGCCGUAUAUUUCUGCUUCCACAAUAACAAUGGAAGUGACAGCUUCCUCCGAAACGUUGGUUGCCACCUACAAGACAUGGUAUCAGAACCCAGAAGACCGCAAUCCACAUUUUCAGCAUUGCAAAACUCUCAGAUAGAGAGAUGAUGUUCGUACGGUGACUUCUGGGAUUUUUCACCGUAUAGUCUAGUAGCAAAUACUGAACUACCACACUACAAAGUGCAACAUCCUAGAAGACAGCCAUCUUCUCAGAUUCUAUUUUUCACAUUAAGUUCACAUUCCUGGAUAUGUGUAUGGGGAGACCAGUAGGCUUACAUUUUCCAAAGAGAAAGAGCCAGGCAGUAGCAUCACCAAACAAUGACGGUUUUCUUAUACGUAUUGAUACAUCAAUAAACAGGAUUCAAACCGGUUCCUGACAGCUGGUGUGUACUGGCAUUCUUUAAAGGACGCUAUACCAUGCUUUGUGUAUCUCUUUACCUAGGGAAGGGGCACUGUAAGUACAGAUCACCUCAAAAGUUAUACUGCAGGAACUGUGGGGAAAAUGUUUAUCACUUCAGGACAGGAACCAUAUCUGUUUUUUGAUGUGUUUAAAUGGUCACGAAAACAAAACUAACAAAGUAGUACAGAGCUGUUCUUCGAAGAAAAAAAAUUAUAUUCUGACAGGCAAGACAUUCUCUUCACUUCCUUUAGUAUUCAUUUUCAUAUCCACCAUCUAUGCCUAGGUCUUCCAUGUAGCUACACCGUUCGUCUUAUCCCUCGUAACUGGCAAUGGCUGAGGUGCAGGUGGGGCCUAAAAUAGAUAAGGUGUCAGAACUAAAGGUGCCUAAGUACUACGGCGAGAAGAUGUAUGUGGCCAGCUUAACGCUGCAGCUGCUUUAUUACCAGAGAAAGAUGACCAGUACCAACAGGACAGGAGGCUGGGUGGUGAUUAGUGGAAAAGGAAAGUUCCUUUCAGAAGGAUGAUGAUGAUGAUGAUGAUGUGGUAAGGGUCAAGUUAUAUCUGGUACUUAACUAAGCAUCACAUAAUGCAGACAAAUGUCAGAGUGGAGGUAUAACUCUACACAUUCAGUACUAGAUGGGGUGCAUGGUUAGUCCUUGCCACUUCAUCCCUGAGGAUAGAAUCCCAGUACCCACUGGAAGGGAGGAUGAUCAUUGAUCCUGUAGCCUAGUUACUAUACUGACAGAGAAACAGUAUGUAAGGGAUAGCAGAGAAAGGGUCAGCUCAAUUCAGUAGGAUCUGGAAACAGACAAGGGAGAAUUUAUAAAAGAAAAAAUGGGGGGUCACAUAAUUAAACUUUUUAAGAAUUUGGUAAGAGUAACAAAAUUUGGAAACCACUGUACUGAGAGCAAAAUAUAGCUAGAUAAGAGCACAGAGAAGGAAAUGAUAAUACCCACAAUAUAUGUGUAUGUGGAGUGAUAAGAGAUGGUGCAUUUAGUGAACAGCAUUGAAUAACUUGUACCAUUAGAACAAUUCAUGGUUUCUGUUAGCAUGUGAUAAGUCAGGUAUUUUGCUUUGCUUUGACUGUAGUUAGCUGUAUAGUUACAAUUAUGUUCGGAAAAAGACUAGCCCGCAACCAACAGUGUUGCCAGAGCACUAGUCAUGCAGCUGCACAGCCAAGAAACGGAAAUAACAACGAAAUGCAUACCUCAUUUUUGUCAAUCUCAUCUUGCAAUGCUAUGGUUUCUUCAUGUAAUUGUUCUGCAAAAGGAAUCAGCAUUUGCUGAUUAUUAUUGACCACGAAGAACAAAUGAAAGAGAUAUUUAAGAUGCAUGCAAAUAAAAUAUGUAGCUGAAGAAAUUUUGAGUAGCACAAAUACUUUUUAAGACGAACACUCAUCACUGAUUAUUGGAAAAUGCGACAAACUAAAUUGAAGCACCAAAAUUAACUGUAUCUGUAUUAUACAUAAUGUGCUGAAAGAACAUGCCUUAUUCUUGAGUCUUCUCUGGCAGUUUAUAUUUAUUUUCUUUAAAUAAAACUAGGUGAAGUCUGCAGAGUUCUAUUGUUAUCAAAGCAGUACUCAGAAAAGGCUUGUAAGAAGUUUUAAAUCAUUCUGGUGAACUUCAUCUUUAAGACAGUUUAAUAUUUGUGUUACUGCAGAAGUACAGUGAACCCUCCCAAUUUCCUAAAACCAUAUAGUAGAAUUGUAUGCCCCUGCUGAGCUUAACAUAUUCAAAUAUAGUGUAAAAAAGGUAAUUUAAAUUAAGUGGCCUGAUAUUUUCAGGGUAUAGAGCCUCUGAAUAUUCAACAAAUUAUUGAAAUAUUGCCUCUUCCUCCUCUCCCUUCUUUUUUAGAUUUUAUAUCAUACUUUUACUCAAUUUGUUUAUAUUUUUUACCUGUACAUAUUUGCAAGUUCAGUUUCACAUUACUGCAUUCUGCAACCAAGAUUUUAAAGGUUAAAAAUAAUACAAGCCCUAUUUCUAGUCCAGCAUUUAAUACAGACUAUGGGUCUUACUGGUUGUUAUUUCUUAUGGUACACUGUCUGGACUGUCUUCUAGAAGAUAGUUUACUUCGUUCCUUAAAAGUUUAUUUUCCCUAAUGUUGAUGGUGGUGGUCUUCAUCAUGCUGCUGCUGAUGAUAAACAUUCUUUUUUAAUUUAACAAGGUUCUGCUCUCCAAUUGUAGCAGCCUCAACAUGCUGUCAGUAUGAAUUCCUGUAUUGUAGCUGGUCAGUCCAGUACAAAGAACGUGAACAGGCGUGCAGUGUCUAUUUUUAUGAAUUAUGAUUUCAAGAGAAGUAUCAAAAAUUUUAUUUGUCUGUAUUUGUAGCAAAAUAGACAGAAAUAAGCCCAUUCACCUUGAAAGAUUAAGCUACCAGAUAAAGCACAUUUAUUGUUUAUGAGGAUGGACAAGAAUCAUUAAUGUUUCCUAGUAAUAAAUUCAUAUCAGUGGUACAUACAGAUAAUUCUGAAUUAAGUAAUACUUUGUGAAGCUAAACAUUUGUCAAAAGAAAGCAAUAAAAUGUAGUCUCAUUUGCUGA
Non-coding RNA from Zootermopsis nevadensis, 4696 nucleotides. Lineage: Eukaryota; Metazoa; Arthropoda; Insecta; Blattodea; Termopsidae. The record is from RefSeq and is a predicted model, not a curated record.